Molecule: long non-coding RNA, 1625 nt
Organism: Misgurnus anguillicaudatus (oriental weatherfish)
Lineage: Eukaryota; Metazoa; Chordata; Actinopteri; Cypriniformes; Cobitidae
Source: RefSeq, a predicted model, not a curated record
UUGUUGGAUUAUUUAUGGGGAAGCAGCUUCAUGGUUUACAAGCUAGAGCAACUUUAUGAAAAUGAAGGAUGUCUUUGGUGUGACAAUGACACACCGUUGUUUCUCACAUCAGUUUACAUUAGAACAGUUCAAUUUUAGCUGUCGCAGUCAUGCAUAAAAUGGGCAAUAUAAGGAAUACUUUCAUGCACAAUUUCCACCUUUUACAAUAAGCAACUGCACUAUAUACCUUACAUGCGAUGUACAGUUUGUUUUAAGCAUUAGUUUGAUCUUGCUUUGUUUUUACGUUUACAAUUUAUUGUAUUGCUGUAGAAGCAUUACUACUGAUAUAUUGUGCACGUGACAGACUUAAAAUGAUAAAUAUUGCUUAAGAAGUGAGAUCCAGACUGUACUUCAUCUGAUAUUUUGAAACUGCUGGCUGAGAUCUGAAUUCAAUGGCAUUGCAGUUUAAUCCAGUUUAAGUAUUAGUCUCUAGCUGCUUUUAGCCAGUUCAUUUGGGUUGAACGUAUGCAAAUUAAGUGACAGACACCUAUUCACCUUAUUUUUCACGACAACAAGGGCGGCGCCAUAGCGCUCAGUUUGUCAACGUACUUCCGGCCGCAUAGAAGAAGAGCAGCUGAGGCAGUGACUGAAGGCGACGCGUUAAGCUUAAAAAGUUCAUUCAAGCGCCUUUAUGUUUGUUUCUUACCAAUUUUAACGGACGGGAAGCCGACUGAGGAACACCCUUAUCCCAGGCAAUGGUUCGACUACGAUGGUCCGGUAACUUUAAACCACGCCGGGUGUUGAAAAGGUGUCCAGUUUCAGAUGCAUUGAUGUGUAGUGAUGCAGUGAACAACUGUGAGGAUGAUACAAUCAACAUGUUCCUAAACUGUGAUGCAGAAACACAAUGGGAGGAUCCAUCCGUCUCUGACCACAACUACACAUUAAAAUCACAACUCAACCUGAAGCAACCUACAUCUGAUAUGGGAAAACAAUGGUGCGGUUUCUCAGACAGGGCUUAUGCUGGUACCAGGCUAAAAUGCAUAUUUGAGCUACAAAAAUGUAAAAACACCUUGUACUGACAUACCUCAACAUAUAUGAGUGCCAUUGUUUUGUCACAAGAUGCGCACCAGUCUUGUUUUUUUGUAAGGUUUGUUUGUAAAAACUAAAAUGUCCUAAUAUAAUUAAGGCCUAGUCCUGUAAACCCUGUCGAAGAAACCGCUUCAAUGUGUUAAGCUGGCACAAAUGUACAUAUCUCUGCUGAGAAACAACCAUCUUUGUCAGCUUUACAGAGGGUUGAUAUUGCAUCAAUUACACAGUCACCAAGCACUUUACCAGUACAUACACCAACAGCUUCCAGAUAAACACUUGGGAUCAGCUCCUGAUGACUCUGAUAAAGCUGUGUCUUAAUUUAUUGCAGGGUGGUCUUGCUGAAAAGUUAGCUGUUUCUUAGUCUAGUUAUCUUUAUAAACCUUUACAGUGUGACCUGAUUUUACCUGUUGUAAAGUUACAUUAAACCUUCAUAUGUGAUUAGAUGUCAUGCAGUGAUAUUAAACAUUUACAAUGUGAGCUGUUGUGCAUUUAUUAAACCUUUACAAUGUGAUCAGGUGUUACCUGCCAUGCAGUUAUAUUAAACCUUUACAAUGUGA